AAGACUAUAGACCUGCGGAGUACCUGCGGAGGGAUCAUUACCGAGUUUACAACUCCCAAACCCCAAUGUGAACAUUACCUUUACUGUUGCUUCGGCGGGAUCGCCCCGGGCGCGGCCGAGAGGCCCAGCCCCGGAUCCAACGUGCGCCCGCCGGAGGACCCCAGACUCCAUGUUUCUUGCAAGGUAUUUCUGAGCUGCUCCUAGCGAGCAAAACAAAAAAUGAAUCAAAACUUUCAGCAA
This 240-nucleotide unclassified non-coding RNA is filed under the name soil metagenome. RNAcentral describes it as "partial contains 5.8S ribosomal RNA, internal transcribed spacer 2, and large subunit ribosomal RNA". The record is from RNAcentral.